UCGAAGAGUUCUGCAAAGGGCAGAGAAAAGCAAAAGAAAUUUUCUGCAUUCAGAAGAAGAAAAGGUGGCCGCUUUAAAAUGAUAACAUUAGAGACUGACAAGGGCAUAUGCUUGGUUCAGACUCGUAAAAAAUACCCCCAAACAGCAUCAUUAUUGUAGACAACCAAAGUGGUUCUAUGUUAGUGGUGGGAUUGGGGCUGCAUAAUGUUUGUUUCAAAAGAUGCCAAGCUUUGGUGUUAAGGUGCUUGGAAGCAGUAGCAAGUGUUGCCAAGCAGAUGUAGGAUAAGUGCAAGUGACUAAAGAAAAUUUGGACAAAGCUUGGAAUUGGAGGAACGUCACUAUAAAGUUGGUCCUUUUUGUUGGUCAUGGACCCAUGCUUCCAAUAUUCUCACCCUGUACCCAUUUUUAAUCAAAGUAACUGUUAUUUUUGUAACUUGAAUUUUGGAUAUAUUUUUUAUGGACUGGAAUUGUGACUCGACUCGAAAGUUUCGCGCUGCAACUCGAUUAGGAUAAAAAGUAAGAUCUGUGGUGAUAGAGAAGGGCACGGGCCGAUAGGCUUGGGCCCGAAGCCCACCACUGAUCUUCUUGGGGGUGCGGGGGUAACGCCCCCUCGGUAUGAACCAUUAUAAAUAUUUUAAUAUUCUACCCUUUACGGUAGAGUUGUGAGAUAUUCGGG
Molecule: unclassified non-coding RNA, 676 nt
Filed under: Hevea brasiliensis (rubber tree)
Lineage: Eukaryota; Viridiplantae; Streptophyta; Magnoliopsida; Malpighiales; Euphorbiaceae
Source: RNAcentral